AACCUUCGGGUUAGUGGCGGACGGGUGAGUAACGCGUGAGAAUCUGCCCUCAGGAGGGGGAUAACAGCUGGAAACGGCUGCUAAUACCCCAUAUGCCGCGAGGUGAAAUGAAUUUCGCCUGAGGAUGAGCUCGCGUCUGAUUAGCUAGUUGGUGUAGGUAAAGGCUCACCAAGGCAUCGAUCAGUAGCUGGUCUGAGAGGAUGAUCAGCCACACUGGGACUGAGACGCGGCCCAGACUCCUACGGGAGGCAGCAGUGGGGAAUUUUCCGCAAUGGGCGAAAGCCUGACGGAGCAACGCCGCGUGGGGGAUGAAGGCCUCUGGGCUGUAAACCUCUUUUAUCAAGGAAGAAGAUCUGACGGUACUUGAUGAAUAAGCCACGGCUAAUUCCGUGCCAGCAGCCGCGGUAAUACGGGAGUGGCAAGCGUUAUCCGGAAUUAUUGGGCGUAAAGCGUCCGCAGGCGGCCCAGAAAGUCUGCUGUUAAAACGUGGAGCUUAACUCCAUCAUGGCAGUGGAAACUGUUGGGCUUGAGUGUGGUAGGGGCAGAGGGAAUUCCCGGUGUAGCGGUGAAAUGCGUAGAUAUCGGGAAGAACACCAGUGGCGAAGGCGCUCUGCUGGGCCAUCACUGACGCUCAUGGACGAAAGCCAGGGGAGCGAAAGGGAUUAGAUACCCCUGUAGUCCUGGCCGUAAACGAUGAACACUAGGUGUCGGGGGAAUCGACCCCCUCGGUGUCGUAGCCAACGCGUUAAGUGUUCCGCCUGGGGAGUACGCACGCAAGUGUGAAACUCAAAGGAAUUGACGGGGGCCCGCACAAGCGGUGGAAUAUGUGGUUUAACUCGAUGCAACGCGAAGAACCUUACCAGGGUUUGGCAUCCUGCGAACCUCUUGGAAACGAGAGGGUGCCUUCGGGAACGCAGUGACAGGUGGUGCAUGGCUGUCGUCAGCUCGUGUCGUGAGAUGUUGGGUUAAGUCCCGCAACGAGCGCAACCCACGUCUUU
This 998-nucleotide ribosomal RNA is filed under the name uncultured marine bacterium. RNAcentral describes it as "bacterial SSU rRNA". It matches the Rfam family "Bacterial small subunit ribosomal RNA", at positions 82 to 1112 of the family's 1533-position model. The record is from RNAcentral.